UGAUCCGGAGAUGUCUGAAUGGGGAAACCCACAUGAGCAAACCUCAUGUAUCCAUACGCCAAUCCAUAACGUAUGGAAGGGAACCCGGGGAACUGAAACAUCUAAGUACCCGGAGGAAAAGAAAGAAAACUCGAUUCCGUAAGUAGCGGCGAGCGAACGCGGAGGAGCCUAAACCGGAAUGCGUGCAUUCCGGGGUUACGGACUGCAUUUAAGAUUCUCUGAAGCUAACAGAACGGUUUUGGGAAAGCCGGCCGGAGAGGGUGAAAGCCCCGUACGUGAAAGCUGAUGAGACUGAGCAGGAUCCAGAGUACCACGAGACACGUGGAACCUUGUGGGAAAUCAGGGGGACCACCCCCUAAGGCUAAAUACUACUUAGUGACCGAUAGCGCAUAGUACUGUGAAGGAAAGGUGAAAAGGACCCCGGGAGGGGAGUGAAAGAGAACCUGAAACCCUGUGUCUACAAGCUGUGGGACCUCUUUAUAUGAGGGACUGCGUACUUUUUGUAGAACGGUCCGGCGAGUUGUGCGUACUGGCGAGGUUAAGGACUUAAGGUCUGGAGCCGAAGUGAAAGCAAGCGUUAAUAGCGCGUCAAGUCAGUGAGUGCAGACCCGAAACCGGGUGACCUAUCCAUGUCCAGGUUGAAGCUUCCGUAAGAGGAAGUGGAGGACCGAACCCACAUCCGUUGAAAAGGGUGGGGAUGAGGUGUGGAUAGCGGAGAAAUUCCAAUCGAACCCGGAGAUAGCUGGUUCUCCUCGAAAUAGCUUUAGGGCUAGCCUCAUGAGAGUCUUAUGGAGGUAGAGCACUGAAUUGCCUAGGGGGCGUCAAAGCUUACCAAAGCAUAUCAAACUCCGAAUGCCAUCAAGAUGAUUCAUGGGAGUCAGACCAUACGAGAUAAGUUGGAUGGUCAAAAGGGAAAGAGCCCAGACCUACAGCUAAGGUCCCAAAGUGCGUGUUAAGUGGAAAAGGAUGUGGGGAUUCUAAGACAACUAGGACGUUGGCUUAGAAGCAGCCAUUCAUUGAAAGAGUGCGUAAUAGCUCACUAGUCGAGAGUCCCUGCGCCGAAAAUGUCCGGGGCUGAAACACGACACCGAAGCUUAGGAAUGUGUAAACAUUGGUAGAGGAGCAUUGCUGGCGGGAUGAAGCCAUACCGUAAGGAGUGGUGGACUGCUAGGAAGAGAGAAUGCCGGAAUGAGUAGCGAGAUGAAGGUGAGAAUCCUUCAGGCCGAAUAUCUAAGGUUUCCAGAGUAAAGCUGAUCUGCUCUGGGUAAGUCGGGACCUAAGGCGAGGUCGAAAGACGUAGUCGAUGGAUAACAGGUUGAAAUUCCUGUACCGCAUAUAAACAGAACUGUGGGGACACAGACAGGGAAUGGAAUCCGGGAAUGGAUAUCCCGGUGCAAGCGAGGUAGGAGUGCUGUUGGCAAAUCCGCAGCACGAUCUGAAGACGUGACGCGUACCGAACAUAAGUAGGGAAGUCCAGGCCCCUGGCUGUCAAGAAAAGCCGCUAUUGUUUUAUAUGUGCCCGUACCGCAAACCGACACAGGUGGAUGAGGAGAGAAUCCUAAGGCCGACGGGAGAAGUAUUGUUAAGGAACUCGGCAAAAUGACUCCGUAACUUCGGGAGAAGGAGUGCCAUGAGAGUGGCCGCAGAGAAAUGGCCCAAGCAACUGUUUAGCAAAAACACAGGUCUAUGCAAAACCGCAAGGUGAAGUAUAUGGGCUGACGCCUGCCCGGUGCUGGAAGGUUAAGGGGAGAGGUUAGCGCAAGCGAAGCUUUGAACUUAAGCCCCAGUAAACGGCGGCCGUAACUAUAACGGUCCUAAGGUAGCGAAAUUCCUUGUCGGGUAAGUUCCGACCCGCACGAAAGGCGUAAUGAUUUGGGCACUGUCUCAACGAUACACCCGGUGAAAUUGAAAUACCAGUGAAGAUGCUGGUUACCUGCGCCAGGACGGAAAGACCCCAUGGAGCUUUACUCCAGUUUGAUACUGGGAUUCGGCAUGGUAUGUACAGGAUAGGUGGGAGACUGAGAAGGUAUGACGUCAGUUGUACCGGAGUCGCUGUUGGGAUACCACCCUUACCAUGUUGGAUUUCUAACCUGUGGCCGUAAGCCGGUCAGGGGACAAUGUCAGGCGGGGAGUUUGACUGGGGCGGUCGCCUCCGAAAGGGUAU
RNAcentral lists this ribosomal RNA (2164 nucleotides) under wastewater metagenome. Its description in RNAcentral is "bacterial LSU rRNA". It matches the Rfam family "Bacterial large subunit ribosomal RNA", at positions 100 to 2300 of the family's 2925-position model. The record is from RNAcentral.